This 497-nucleotide ribosomal RNA is filed under the name uncultured bacterium. RNAcentral's name for it is "partial 16S ribosomal RNA". It matches the Rfam family "Bacterial small subunit ribosomal RNA", at positions 28 to 507 of the family's 1533-position model. The record is from RNAcentral.
GAUGAACGCUGGCGGCGUGCCUAAUACAUGCAAGUCGAGCGAACAGGCGAGGAGCUUGCUCCUCUGACGUUAGCGGCGGACGGGUGAGUAACACGUGGAUAACCUACCUAUAAGACUGGGAUAACUUCGGGAAACCGGAGCUAAUACCGGCUAAUAUAUUGAACCGCAUGGUUCAAUAGUGAAAGACGGUUUUGCUGUCACUUAUAGAUGGAUCCGCGCCGCAUUAGCUAGUUGGUAAGGUAACGGCUUACCAAGGCAACGAUGCGUAGCCGACCUGAGAGGGGGACAGGCGACAAGGGGACUGAGACAAGGACCAGACUCGUACGGGAGGAAGAAGCAGGGAAAGGUAGGCAAGGGGCGAGAGUCUGAAAGAGCAAUGCGGAGGGAGAGAAAAAUGUGUGCGGAUCGUAAAACUCUGUAGUGAGAGAAGAACAAAGACGCUAGGAAAUGAAAGAACCAGGACGGUAUCUAAUAAGAAAGCGACGGCUAACUACGUU